RNAcentral lists this ribosomal RNA (254 nucleotides) under uncultured bacterium. Its description in RNAcentral is "partial 16S ribosomal RNA". It matches the Rfam family "Bacterial small subunit ribosomal RNA", at positions 524 to 776 of the family's 1533-position model. The record is from RNAcentral.
UACGUAGGCAGCGAGCGUUGUUCGGAGUUACUGGGCGUAAAGGGUGUGUAGGCGGUUGUUUAAGUUUGGUGUGAAAUCUCCCGGCUCAACUGGGAGGGUGCGCCGAAUACUGAAUGACUUGGAGUGCGGGAGAGGAAAGCGGAAUUCCUGGUGUAGCGGUGAAAUGCGUAGAUAUCAGGAGGAACACCGGUGGUGUAGACGGCUUUCUGGACCGUAACUGACGCUGAGACACGAAAGCGUGGGGAGCAAACAGG